GCCCCCAUCGUCUAGAGGCCCAGGACGCCACCCUUUCAAGGUGGAGAUCACCGGUUCGAAUCCGGUUGGGGGUACCC
RNAcentral lists this transfer RNA (77 nucleotides) under Chloroflexota bacterium. RNAcentral's name for it is "Chloroflexi bacterium (freshwater metagenome) tRNA-Glu". It matches the Rfam family "tRNA". From Rfam's summary of the family: Transfer RNA (tRNA) molecules are approximately 80 nucleotides in length. Their secondary structure includes four short double-helical elements and three loops (D, anti-codon, and T loops). Lineage: Bacteria; Bacillati; Chloroflexota. The record is from RNAcentral.